Molecule: long non-coding RNA, 2009 nt
Organism: Chrysemys picta bellii (western painted turtle)
Lineage: Eukaryota; Metazoa; Chordata; Testudines; Emydidae
Source: RefSeq, a predicted model, not a curated record
CCGGGGAGGUUAGUGGAGGCGACCCUGCAGGGGGCAACACUGUCUGGUUUCUCUGAAUUACUGGGCAGCACUCCCCAAGCUGGCCUGCCUCUGUCCUGCUCCUCUCCAUGUGUAGGGGAAACAGCCGCCCCACGCCAGUCCCUGUCUCCUGGCUUGCACUGACAGGGUGGCUGCCCUGGCCAGGUGUCCUCCUCUCCCUCCCUGCCCUGCACGGAUCAGGAGCCCCCUUCUCCAGCCCUGCUGUGGCAGGUGGCUGCCCCAGUUAGGGGCUCUUCUCCCCUUCUCCUGCAUUGCCCUGGGGAGCUGGCAGCCCGUGGGUGGCAUGGAGCUCUGGAUUUGUGUGUAAUAGUUCCUGCUGGCGCUCACUGAGCGUGCCUGGGGUGCUGUGCCACCUCUUCUGCCCACCAUCCCACCUGGUGUGGGCCUGGCCCUCUGAGGGGGCUGGGGCCUGUGUUAAUCAUCUCCUAGGGUUUGAUGAUGAGAUCAGAGAGUGAGAAACCAGAUAAACAGGUGGAGCCUGCCAGGGCUUAUGGGGCUAUCAAGCCAUAAAACCAGCUGGGACAAGGCCUCAGACUCUUCUGAUAAGCCAGGCCAUGUGAGGGAACAGGGCUGGGCCGGUUGUGCGUAUGUGACCACCUGGGCACUCAGCUAGCUCUGUGACCUUUGCCCAGGUACCCAGCGCAUAGCUGGGGCUCUUGGCUCAGGGGAUCUCCAGUGUGGGUGAUGCAGGAAGAAGUCGUCUAAUUCUGAGGAGGGAUUUGAUCUGUGGAUUUCUUGUGUUGCCUGGCAUUGGGCUUAGGCAGGCCUCUCCUCCAGUAUUAAACUGGGCUGUCCUGUCCAACUUUUGUGGGGUUUGUUUCCCAUCCAGUACCGAGAUCGAACCAGAUGUGGUUUUGUCCUGUAUUGGGCAAACGCCCUUUUGAAGAGCGUGCUGUUCCAUCCCUGCUAGGUGCAUGCAAGGUCAUGAUGGGGAGGGGGCGAGGUCAUGCCGGCAGGGGUAUGUCCACGUCAUUCCCAGAAGUAUAUCCAGUAUCCAGGAAUGCAUGAGGCCACCCUAACUCGAAUGGGGGCAGGCUGCCAGUAACCCAGUAGAUGCUGCUGCUGGGCUCACCAGUAUGUGAGGCCUCUGUAUGGCAGCUGCCCAUGGGAAGGCCAGACGAGCCAUUUCGGUCUAAGUCCGUCUGCCUCUCCCCAAAUUCAAAUGUCCUUCUGGGCUAAGUCGUCUCCUGCCCAGACUGGCUCCAUGAGGUUGUUCUGGGUAGUUACAGUGUUUUUGUGUAGACAAAUCAGCGCAGCGCAGCCCCCUUGUGUGGCCACACUUCUCUUGGUAUUAAGUUGCUUAGCCUGGGAGAACUUAUCCAACUCAAGCAAUGCUGCUAACUGCAGACACCUAGGGGGUUAUAUCAAUUUAUCUACAUUGAUUUUUCUACCAUCGUAGUUGUCUGUGCAAAGCUGUGCUUGGACCAGCCCUGAAAGCGAUCUCUGUCCCUCCGCAGCACCAGAGUUCUGUAAUACACACUGAGGCCUGCUUUCUGUCCAGCCCCUUCUCAUUUCCUCUGCGUCCUGCUUCUCAUCACAGUGCUGAUCACUGAUGCCUCAUCUUGUGAGGGAGCUGUGCUGGUCCCCCAGGGCUUGACUCUGCUUAGGCAAAACAAGUGCAAGCACAAUGUGCUCAGCGCUACACCACAGUUUUGUUCCAAAACUUCCUCUAAUGACACCUCAAGCUGGGACAGUCCCUCAGAUUUGUCACCUAAGAAGAAUGGCUCUCAUGUGGGAAUCUCCCUCACAUCCUCUGCAGUGAAGACCAAUGCAAGGAAUUCAUUUAGCUUCUCUCCAACAGCCUAGUCUUCCUCGAGUGCUCCUUUAGCAUUUUGAUCAUCCAGUGGCCCCACUGACUGUUUGGCAGUCUUCUGAUGUACUUACAAAUGUUUUUGCUGUUAGCUUUUAAGUCUUUUGCUAGUUGCUCUUCAAAUUGUUUUUGGCCUGCCUAAUUAUACUUUUACACUUGA